GUAUUGGCUCUAGCUACUUGCAUCAUUGUACAGAUGAUGCAAGAUCGACUAUGUCGAAUAAAAUUCUAGGUAGAAUUAUGAUAAUGACAUUGUCUGCCUAUGUGUCUUGACCAAAUUACGUGCCAGCAGUCGCGGUAAUACGUAGAAGACUAGUGUUAUUCAUGUUUAAUCGGUUUAAAGGGUACCUAGACGGUAGAUCAAGCUUUUACAUAUAAAUUAUGUUAAUUAAAGGACUAAUUUGCUAGAGUUACUUACGAGGGGGUAUUAAAGUACUGCUGGUGUAGAGAUGAAAUUCUGUCAUACCUCUUUUCGAAAGAAAAAUCAUGGCACAGGUAUAGGCGAAGGCAUCCCCUUAUGUGAUAACUGACGUUGAGGGACGAAGGCUUUGUGUAACAAACAGGAUUAGAUACCCUAGUAGUUGAAGCAGAAAAUGAUGAAUGUCAUAGAUUAGAUAUAUAAGUUUAUUCUAUAAAUGAAAGUGUAAGCAUUCCACCUCAGGAGUAAUUUGGCAACAUUGGAAUUGAAAUCAUUAGACCGUUUCUGAAACCAGUAGUGAAGUAUGUUGUUUAAUUUGAUGAUCCGCAAAAAA
RNAcentral lists this ribosomal RNA (589 nucleotides) under Punctelia rudecta. Its description in RNAcentral is "SSU rRNA". It matches the Rfam family "Bacterial small subunit ribosomal RNA", at positions 369 to 968 of the family's 1533-position model. The record is from RNAcentral. Lineage: Eukaryota; Fungi; Ascomycota; Lecanoromycetes; Lecanorales; Parmeliaceae.